AGUGAACGCUGGCGGUAGGCCUAACACAUGCAAGUCGAACGGCAGCACAGUAAGAGCUUGCUCUUACGGGUGGCGAGUGGCGGACGGGUGAGGAAUACAUCGGAAUCUACUUUUUCGUGGGGGAUAACGUAGGGAAACUUACGCUAAUACCGCAUACGACCUACGGGUGAAAGCAGGGGAUCUUCUGACCUUGCGCGAUUGAAUGAGCUGAUGUCGGAUUAGCUAGUUGGCGGGGUAAAGGCCCACCAAGGCGACGAUCCGUAGCUGGUCUGAGAGGAUGAUCGGCCACACUGGAACUGAGACACGGUCCAGACUCCUACGGGAGGCAGCAGUGGGGAAUAUUGGACAAUGGGCGCAAGCCUGAUCCAGCCAUACCGCGUGGGUGAAGAAGGCCUUCGGGUUGUAAAGCCCUUUUGUUGGGAAAGAAAAGCAGCAGGUUAAUACCCCGCUGUUCUGACGGUACCCAAAGAAUAAGCACCGGCUAACUUCGUG
This 492-nucleotide ribosomal RNA is filed under the name uncultured bacterium. Its description in RNAcentral is "partial 16S ribosomal RNA". It matches the Rfam family "Bacterial small subunit ribosomal RNA", at positions 29 to 507 of the family's 1533-position model. The record is from RNAcentral.